Molecule: long non-coding RNA, 344 nt
Filed under: Elaeis guineensis (African oil palm)
Lineage: Eukaryota; Viridiplantae; Streptophyta; Magnoliopsida; Arecales; Arecaceae
Description: long non-coding RNA (EGUI_LNC061836)
Source: RNAcentral
GGGCCAUAAAAUAAUUAAAUAUAGACCUAGAUGAGGCUGGACAUCAAAGGAAGCUACAAAUAAAUAAACUAGAAGAAAUCAGGAAUGAGGCAUGUUGGUGCAAAAAUCUGCCGGCGUCAAAGAAGCUGGAGUCGAGGGAGUCGCGGUCACCGUCGGGACAUACAAAGAAAGUCUAAAUCGGAGUUGGGGGUGCUCCGGCAAGAUCCUCCGACGCUCAAGUCAGUUCUCUGCCUCAACAAGAAUGGAGUGCUCGAACAGAAAUUUUAGCAGAGUUUUGAGAUAGAGAUUAGAGCUUAGAGAAUAACGUAUCUGGGGGUCCCCUUUUUAUAGGCAGAGGGCGUAAC